Molecule: long non-coding RNA, 2826 nt
Organism: Prinia subflava (tawny-flanked prinia)
Lineage: Eukaryota; Metazoa; Chordata; Aves; Passeriformes; Cisticolidae
Exons: 4
Source: RefSeq, a predicted model, not a curated record
UACACUGGCACAUGGAAAGCACUCAAAUAAUGAACAUCUUAUCCAAUGUUUAAAGCAUAAUUAAGGGAUUACAUGUCUUCAAGAGUAUUGUACCCUUUUAUUAGUCAUAAAUCGUUCCUUUCUAUGGAUUUUUAUUACUUCAUAUCAAUUUUUUUUUUAUUAUUUUAAAAGCACAUAAAUAUUUCCAUUUUUGAACAUUCAGAGCUCAAAGGUGGUAUAAAACAACCUUCCAUCAGACUUCCUAAAAUUUAUUUCUUGUCAUUCAUGGGCAACAAAUUAGAUCAAUUAAUACAGGUAUGUCUGAUGGUUGGCUGGGUGUUACUAGAUGUUUUUUUGCAAGCCAUUUCAGAAGAAAUAAGAACAGAUUUAACAGGAGAUACAUGAAAUGACUUGCUUAUUAGAAAGUUUCUCAGCUUCCUGGGAGAGGCGAGGAAAUCUGUUCAAGUUUCCAUUACUUAGCAUCACCUUCUGCCAUUUUACUCACUCAAUCUUUCAGGAAUUACAGAAUAAUUCCCUGUGCUUUGCUAUCUGGCUCAUGAGAUAUUUUGCGUAUUUGCUUUCUUGAAAUUAUUCUGCCUCAUUGAUUAGGGUAAGAAAAACAAUAUAGCAAACUCUUUCCCCCUAAGAUAUAACAUCUGGAAUUUGAUGAUCACCUUGGGCAAGAAUUUAGACUUGUUUUUUGAUGUGGGGUUUGGGGGGGUUGGUUUGUUUUUUGUUUUGUUUUAUUUUGUUUUGUUUUGUGUUUUUGUGGUUUGUUUUGUUUUGUUUUAUUGGUCAGGUUUAAUGUAAGCCAAAAAGUUAUUGUGUACAUGAAAUAACUACAACACAAAGUGUCCACUUUUUUCUCUAGCCCUCAGCAAAAUUUCAGUCUUUCUUGGGUGGAUCCUUACUUGUCAGUCUACACAAGAAUGCCCAUGAAGCCAUGCUGAUAAAUGGAAAUGGACCAGUUUUGGUAUACAAGUCGACCAAACCAUCCUAGGAAAUGUAAGAAGUGCCCAUUUAGUCUAUGUGACAGACAUCAUACACACCUUUAUCAAAGGGUUUUAAAGAAGCUCAAGAAAAAGUAAAAACUUCCAUGCUCCUGAAUAAUUAAUGAAGACUGUUCCUCACUCCAGUAAACACUGCAUUUUUAUAAAGAAAGAGAACAGCUGGUGCAUGAAAUCAAGCUUUUGAAAUCACACAUUUCAAGAAAAAUUCUCUCCAGAUUCAACUUUCGAUAAACAUGAGUCUGCAAUACUUUUCUGCAUGAAAAUGAAACCUAUUAAACAGCAAAGGUGUGAUUGUUUUAUAGCACUUCGAGGAGACUGAAAGUUUAAUUAAAGAAACAAAAAAAAGUUAAUGGCAAGAUUUUUGCAUGAUGCAUUAUGUUUUCAUAUAAGUCACCAUGUACACUUUCAGGCCCUCUUCCGAAAACCAGAGCCCCAAGCCAUCAAAUCCUUUGAAGAGAAAAUAGACUUUGCAUUCAACUCAUCAUGCUGACGAAAGUUGAGCCAUACCACAGAAGGCAGAUUUGAUGUGGUCAUGAGAACUCAACGUGGCAACACAAUGUCCUGUUACGAUCUGGAGAUGUAGCAAAUGUUUCAGUAUGCUCAUCAGUUUUGCAACAAUAUAAUGUAUUUCUGUUUUGUUGAAUAAAACAGACAUUUAUUUUAAAGCCAAAUACUUCAGAAAGAAGUCACCAGGAUUUCAAGCUGAAUUAGCACAGUUAUGAAAGAUGUGAUUUGCAACUGGUUGGCAGCUGCGUUUGGUUAGAAUGUUUUUAAUCUCUGCAGCAUAGAAAUGUGCUUCCCAUAGUUAACGGAUGUGUUAUUGCAAAGGACAAUGAAAUAAAUUCCAGAUUCUAUUCAUCCUCCACAGCCAUGUUCUUUAUCAAAAAAAUUAUUACUUCACUUGUUUCAUUGCUGUCAGGAUAAAAAUCAAGGCCUCAUUUGACCCUAUGCUACAGACAAGUAGAGUGGUCUCCUCUAAUAGAAAAUAUUUCUUAUUUCCUACCUUUGAACCUUGUAAGUCAACCAACUAUAUGAGGCCAUGAACUCAGGGGUUGCCUUAAACCACAUCUUGUAUUUUUUGCUCCAUAAUAGCAAACCUUUUGUUUUUCUGUGCAAGACAUUACCAGAUUUUACCAGUCUGGGUGCAAGUUUUACAGAAAUUUUAUUAUAUAGCCCUUCUAAAGAGGGCCAGAUCCCCACGUGGAAAAGUUUGGUACACGUCACCAAGGCUAUCUGGGAUGUGCAGAUUAACAUGAACAAAAACCAGAGAUAAUUUGUGGUUUAGGAUAUAACUGCAAAUUUGGUAACAUUUGUAAGAACUUUGGUAUCAGCAGGUCAGGCACACCUUCUAAAUAAGAGAUAUUGGAAACUUCUGUAAGUGACAAAAUGAAAAUUAAGAGGAAGUUCUUGAUUCUUCAAGUAGAGUUCUUUACUUUGGAUUUCUAUACUGAACCACUAUUGAGUAUUUUGUGUUGCUAAACUGGUCAUUUCCUUUAAUAUUUUAUUAAUUUUAAACUGUGAUUAGCAUCAUAACUGCUUUAACUCUUACAAAAAGGAGUUCAAUUGUAAAAGAGCAUCAUAAAAUGAAUAAAUAUCCUUUUGUCAGUUAUCAAUUUAGCACCAUAAUUUCAUUCUGAUAUUUAAAAACUCAAAUGAAAUCUCUCUUCUAUGCUUGAGAAUAAAAAAUUAUAGAAAUGUCUGUGAACAAUUGUGUAUUGAACUAAAUGCUUAUAUAAUUUUAUUGUUUGCUAUUUAUUAUUCACUUUUGAGUUUUCUCAUCUCAAAGACUGCAAAAAAUUGUGAUUUUGUCUUUCAGUGUCAGUACUGACUAGGUCUC